RNAcentral lists this long non-coding RNA (559 nucleotides) under Homo sapiens (human). Its description in RNAcentral is "non-protein coding lnc-GCNT3-2:2". Lineage: Eukaryota; Metazoa; Chordata; Mammalia; Primates; Hominidae. The record is from RNAcentral.
AUUGUGACUCGAGGCUCAGGCCACUGUGUUGGACCUUCAGCUCAGUGGUUCCUGCUUCUCCUGUUGUUUGUCUGGCUGAUCUCUGCUCACCCAUCAAGUAUUAGCCUAAAUGCCACUUCCUCCAGGAUGUCUUCCCGGAACCCAAGCUUCCCACAGUUUAUGUCUUCUUGCUGCAGGAACCAUUGCCGGAAGGUACUGAGAACUAAAUCAGUCUGUUCAACCUCCCACCUGUGCAGUUUUACCCUGUGCCUCCCUGGCAGGGAGAGAAGAGAAGAGGCCCAUGACUGGCUCCUACAGAGUUUGACUCUUUGCUUCGACACUACCGUCUGCAAGUUCUUGUGCUAGCCGCUGUGGGAAAGACACAGCUGAGUCAGACAUGAUCCCUGCCCUCAAGGAGCUUGUGACACCACAGUGAAGACAAGUCUAUUUUGGUGCUGAAGGGAAACAGAUGAAGAACAUGACCUCAAGGAGCUUCCUGUCAAUGAGAAGACCAAGCUGACGCCUGGCAAAGAUAUUAAAGAGGAGCCUGAAACUGUUCCUUGGACAUCUUAUGAAUGUC